UUCUAAUCCUUCAAACUCGUGAAACUUUUUGAUUCAUUGAAUUGGUAAUUUGAAAAUUUAAAUGCUUAGUGGCUUUUCAAGAAUGAGGAUCCAAUGUUGUAUUCGUGGGAAAAUUUUCAGUUCUUUACCCCCUUUUAACUCCUAUUGCACCCCCAUCUCCAAAAAUCAUUGUAGUGGUGAGCUCAUGCUUCAGAGUAUCAAUUCAGCAAGUCUUCUUUGGAAAGGGCAGUUCAGCAACUUUCUGCUAGCAUAGUUUCUGGCGGGCAUUGGCUAUUUUAACAGACAAAUCAAAACCAUGUGUUGGACUGAGUUAGUUUAUUGGAUCCAAUAAUUUAUGCUGGAAAAACAGAUUGUAAAAGUGCAAGAAUUCUCAUUAUUCACCAUUCUUGUUUGUAAAAUGGCCAGUUCAGUUUUCUUUUG
This is a non-coding RNA of Nicotiana tabacum (common tobacco), 420 nucleotides long. The record is from RefSeq and is a predicted model, not a curated record. Lineage: Eukaryota; Viridiplantae; Streptophyta; Magnoliopsida; Solanales; Solanaceae.